AUUUCACGAGGAUUGGGAGAAAAAGAACAAAAGGCAGUCUAAAAAGGAACAUCCCAUUUCCGUGAUCCGCUCUACCGAAAUUUUGAGAAAGAAUAUGCUUCAGCAGCCGCACACGUUGAUCUUCAGGGCAGAGCGGGGGCUCUCGGCUGGGGACGGGAAGUCCAGACUCACCGUCAGCCUGGUCUCAGCCCCCAGCCCCGUCCCGCAGUCGUCGAGGCCCACGGUCCGUUUUACUCGCGUCCCCCUGGUGGUCCGCCCGUCGCUCCUGCCACGCUCCGGCUUCCUGGUACAGGCCCCCAGCGCCUUCCACCUGGAGCGCCGUGGUUUUCGGCUCGUUAGGAAAUCUCCGUUGCCUUCAGGAUAAGUCCCGUCUCCCUAGAUCCGCUUCGCAAGGGCCUCCGAAUCCUGUCUCCAGCAGGAUCGUCCACCUGCGGCCGCUCCCCACUGCCCCCCCCCCCCUUCCCCGAGCUCCAGCCCACCUGAGUGGCUCUCGGUUCUCCAGGGCGACGGUCCUCCCCAGCUUCGGCAACACGCCCCGGCCUCCUCCUUUCGUAAGAGGUGGCUUCCUUCCUUUCCCUCACCUCCUAACCCCGAGUGAAGGGCCGGUGGCGUCCCUCCCAGCAGGGUGCACCCGUCGCCCUGCGCUGCGCUCGCCUGCUGUGCGCCCGGGGUGCUCCAGCCCACACCAGCUCCUCGGAACCGGGCUGCUGCAUCCCGCUCACCAUUGUUCCCAGCUCCCCAGGACGGUCCUUGGCAGUACUGGUCGGACCCUCUAAGAAUUCAGCGACCGGCGUAGGAAAACAAAAAUUAGAGUCGCCUUAGGUAUCUACCUGACAGAUUUAUCUUAUGUUGCUGUGUUUUUCAGUUUUGAAUGCUCCUCAUUUAAUCAGAAGUUUCUCUAGAAGAAUAACUUUUUUAAAAAAAUGAUAUAAAUUUUGCUUAGACCAUUCUGAUGUUUUUGUCACAAUUAACCAUAAAUCUUUUUUAGCAGCCAUCGUGUGUGUGGUUUGUGAAGUGAAAUUCUGGAACAGUAGCUCCCUGUUUAACGUUAAGGGGCAGAAAUGUUCAUGUUAAGCCCAGGCUCUGAAACUUUAAAACUGAGCUGAAACUAAAUGCCAAAAAAUGAUAGUGGAAGGAAAGAACAUUAUGGUGGACGUUCUGAUCCUUGAUUGUUAUUAUUAAUUUUUAGGACAGCAAUUAUCAAUAUGUUAGGAAAUUGUCCUGAUACUGACUUAAAAAAAUAUCCUGUACUCUUAAUAUUUUUCUUUUGUUUAAGAGGAUGUCAUGGUAACAAAUUGAAAUUAUCAUUUUCCUUGUGCUCCUUCUGAGCUAGCAGUGUUACAUAUGUACAUUUAGAUCUGUAGUAUUUCUAAACACCACCCUGCUACACACUUUCAAUAAAGUUAAACAAGAAUUCUUUGUUGAGAGAUGUAAUAUUUGGAGGGGGGGGUAUAAGGGAAUAAAUCUUAACUACUACAAAUUGUUUCCCUUCAGCCUUACUCUGAAGGAGAUCCUUGUUGGUUUUCUCAUUACUGUACAACUAGCCUGUUGACUCUGUUACACUUUGGUGGAGGGGAGUAUAAUUUAGUAAGAAAUAAAAAUUUUUUUAAAAAGAGAAAAUUUCUUUAGUAAAAUAGGCAAAAAAUUAAUGAGAUCAUAUAAAAGUGAAACCAAGUAAUGUAUUUAAAGUAUUUGGGGCAGGAAAAAAAAGGCAUCAUAAUUAUUUACUGUUCUGUAGAUAAGUAUUCUCUCAGUAUGUAUCAUAUCUAUUUAUAUAAAGGACAAACUGAAUAAUUAUCAUAAAUAAUAAGGGAAAAGUAAACCCCAAAGGGCUUCUCUUAGGUGUGUAGGCUUCGAUAAUUUUGAGUUGAGAAAACAUUUUAGGGACGCCUGGGGUGGCUCAGUGGUUGAGCACCUGCCUUCAGCUCAGGGCAUGAUCCUGGAGUCCCAGGAUCAAGUCCCACAUUGUGCUCCCUGCAGGCAGCCUGCUUCUCCCUCUGCCUAUGGCUCUACCUCUCUCUCUCUCUCUGUGUGUCUCAUGAAUAAAUAAUAAAAUCUAAAAAAAAAAAGGAAAAAGAACACAUUUUAGGCACUGAUUUGGUAAAAGUCCUAUAAGUACACUUUACUGACAUUUUAGCUGUGUUUUUCAAUUUUAACCUUUUUAAAAAUCUUAUUUCCAAACCUUGCGGAGUGUUAAGUGAUUUUUUUAAAUGUUUAUAGUGAAACAUUUUUAAAAAGUAUAGUUCAUUUUAAGAGUAUAUCUACAAUGAAGUACAUUUCAGCCUUAUUUAAGCAUAGCAAACCUGAUUAGGCAACCAUUUGAAAGAAACACACAUUUAAGAUGAGAUGUAAGAUUGCCAUUUGCUACAUUUGUUGGUUUUAACAGAGAUUUCAAGUUAAUUGGGUAUUGAAAAUCAACUACCAGUCUAGUAGAGAUAUGCAGAUAGUGAUGACUAGCACAUAAUAUAGUGCGGAAAGCUUGGGAUUUGGAAUUAAAAGACUCUGGUCCAAAUCAGCUAGUUUAUGCCUUUUGCAAGUUAUGCCUGAGAGUUAGUUUCCACAUUAUAAAUUAGCAACUAUUUCCCAUUUUGACAAGCUCCCACUGCUGAUAUGAGGAUCAAAUGAGGAUAAUGUGUACCACCAACCUUAAAACACUAACCAAACAGUAGUUGCCCUUAUUGUUCUAUACAUUCCACUUCGGACUUGAAAGGAUUUGGUUUUCACAGAAAUGAUGCACACACAAACACACACAAACACACACCCAGUAUGAAAAAAAUAUCUAAGAAGGAAGUAAAAUUACUUUUUCAUAAACUCCAAUUCCCUUAUAGGGAUUGAUGUGUACUUGCGUUUAUUCAUGGGUAAUAGCUGAUAUCAGAAGGAACUGGGGCACUCUAUAUAAAAAAGAAUCAUUGGAGGAUGUUUAAGAGGAUUCUGGUACAAUCUGGAUUUUGUUAUGCUCUACAUAUUAUACAAGAGCCAGGUAAUGUGUGUGUGUGUGUGUGUGUAUGCGCGCGCGUGUGUGUGAGAGAUACUAAUAAAAACGGGUAAAGAAAAAUAAGGUAAAUACUUAAUGAAGUAUACCUUAUUCAGUGUUCACCGUCAAACUUUAAAAGAGGAAGGUGUUCUUCAAUGAUAAUACUCAUUAUUGACCCAUGAUCAAGGAUAAAGUAGCACCAAAAGCCCUUCUAUUAUCCCUGGCUCCUUCACACAAGUCUAAAAUAUUUGGCCAGUGGUUAAUUGCCUUCCCGGUUUUGACUGAGAACGGACUAUGUGCAGAAAGUGACAAUGCACACACGAUGGUUGGUAAAAUAACCACAAGAUACAUUUUAUCUCAAAGAAGCUAAUAUCAAAUUCUGAAAAAGAAAGAAGAAGAAGAAGAAGAAGAAGAAAAAAAAAGCCCUAAUGCAUCUGUGACUGAGCCUCCCUUCUUGAGAGGGAGGGGAAGCUGGGCAGACACUUUCCCACCCACUUAUCUCUGCAACCUUCUAACCACACCAGCAAGCAGAGGAGGGGACUCCUGCCUGAAUACAGUACUCACCCCGGCUGCCAUUCUACUGUUACAGUCCCAUCCUCUUGACUCCUAAAAUUUUCAGUUUUCUAAAGCUGCCCCUUAAAAUAUAAAUCUCCUGUGAGGGGCACAGGUGGCACAGGGCACUUGAAGCUCACACCUAAAUCAUCUUUUACCUGGUCAACAGAGAUCAUUUUUAUCCUGCUGAGAUGAAGAAAGGGAGCAAAGAUAGAAAGGAAGAAAAGAUCAAUGACCCAGUAAGGUGAGACCCAAAAGAGCUUUGACAGUUUUGCCUGGGAACCAUCUCUCUGGCUCCAUUUCUGUGCUGGUGCGGCAUCAUGCCAUGGGAUUCCAGCCUCUGCUCUCAGGCUUCCAGAUUCUGCUCAUCUGCCCCACACAUACUCCUCCUCUGUCAGGGAACUCAGCUGAAUUCAGACUAGCACAUGGUACUAGAAGAAAAAGCAGUCCGAAGAUCAGAAGACUUGAUUUCUUUUUGACUUUGAGUCAUUCAGUCCUUCCAUGGAUGACAAUUUUCCCCAUUCUAUGUAAAAGGAGAGAGUGGAUGACAUUCCUAUUCAGCUCUGGGUUUCUCCCUUUCCCUGCCUGCUAACUGCUCCAACUCUUUUUACUCAAAAGGUGAAACAGCCAGGCAGCCCGGGUGGCUCAGCGGUUUAACACCACCUUCAGCCCACGGCAUGAUCCUGGAGACCCGGGAUCGAGUCCCACGUCUGGCUCCCUGCAUGGAGCCUGCUUCUCCCUCUGCCUGUGUAUCUGCCUCUGUGUGUGUGUGUGUAUCUCACGAAUAAAUAAAUAAAAUCUUAAAAAAAAAAAAAGGUGAAAACCCCAAAUAUCCGUGAACAAAAUGUGAUAUAUACAUCCAAGGAAAUAUUUCUCAGCCAAAAAAGGAGAGAAUCCUGACACAGGCUGUAACAUAGAUGAGCCUUGAAGGCAUUAUGCUUAGUGAAAUAAGCCGUACACAAAGGGAAACAUUAUAUGAUUCCCCUCAUAGGAGGUACUUUGAGGAGUCAAAUUCAGACAAAAUAGAACAGUAAGUAGAAUAGAAGUUCCCAGGCACUGAAGCGGAGAGGGAAUGGGGAGCUAUUGCUUAGUGGGGACAGAUUUAUAGUUUGGGAAGAUGAAAGACUUCUGGAGAGGAAUAGUGGUGAUAGUUGCACAGCAAUGUGGAUAUAAUUAAUGUCGCUGAACUGUACACUUAAAAAUGGUGAAAAUGGUACAUUUCACAUAAUGUAUAUUUUACCACAAAAAUUAUUUUAUUUUUAAGAUUCUAUUUAUCUAUUUGAGAGAGAAAGAACACAAGCCGGGAGGAGGGGCAGACGGAGAGGGAAAAGCAGACUCCCCACUGAGCAGGGAGCCCAAUAAAGGGCUCCAUCCCGGACCCUGGAUCAUGACCUGAGCUGAAGGGAGACGCUUAACCCACUGAGCCACACAGGUGCCCCACCGCAAAAAAAUAUUUUAAACAAAACAGACUUGGAAGCCCACAGUGGGAUCCCUGAUUGAAGACCUGCUUUGUGCCAUCGGCCUAAAGCCUUGCCCCUGACUUUUCCGUGUGGCAGUCUGAAUUUUGACGCAUCCUCAAUCUCUCCCUGCAUGACAGGACCCCCUCCAUGGCCCUGUGCAAGGGGAUGCUCCUACCCCCUCCUUCAUAAGCACUCCUGGACCGCCCCAGCUCUUCUCAAGCAACACUCUGCUUCCAGUGCUCCGCCACCACUUGGGGCUGUCAUCCAAGCCCCGAGCCCUGUGCUCCCACGGUCACGUGGGACACUGCCUACGACCACCCCACUUCCGAAGCACAUCCACGUGUAGCCUACACCCACAGCCUUCAUCCUUCUUUGAUUUUACUACACCUGCUCUUCAACCUCUUGGAGACCCCAUUCCCUCAGCCUCUCCCCCAGCGCGGCUCAGGGUGUCACACAGUUGUGGGCACUGGGCCCGUGACACACUGGCUUACUGUCUGCAACCCCAACUGAGCCCAAAGUGGAGUCUCUCAUGCUUUUCUACAAG
This 5530-nucleotide long non-coding RNA is filed under the name Canis lupus familiaris (dog). RNAcentral describes it as "lncRNA (ENSCAFG00030016453.1)". Lineage: Eukaryota; Metazoa; Chordata; Mammalia; Carnivora; Canidae. The record is from RNAcentral.